CAAAGAGUGAAGCUAGCCGGAUGCUUAAGGAAUCAACCGAGGCAGAUUAUCGACAUGGUGAGUAUUUACACAUUUAAUACACUGCUGUUAGAUACUGAACUAAUUUCACCUUUUGUGUUUAGCUAGCUUUCAACCUUACAAACACUCUCUGUUAUCUGACUGGAAUUUCGCUAGAAACACUCUGUUAGCUGACUGGAAUUCCGCUAGUUCUCAUCAGCGUUUCCAUUGCUAAUGUUAUCUGUUAGUGCUGUAUGAUAUAACUUAGGUUAUGAUUCAUUUCACCCGUUGUUUUAUGUUGUCGUAUCGAUGUAUUUAGCCAUCUAGCUACGUUACAAACACUACCUUAUCUGACUGGUAGUUCGCUAUAUUAAGGGGGCUUUUACGAGGGCUAUGAAUGAAUGAGAAUGAGAAUGUUUGGACUGUGAAUCAGUAUUUUCUAUCGAUCGUUUAAAUUCAGAUGUAUAAACGAAUAUAUUGGGAGGUAGUCAUAUGAAUACAGUCUCUUUUACACAUGUUUAGGUAGCUACUCUCACUGUUGAUGUCAUGGAAUUUCACUCGUUCUCAUCAGCAAAGCAUUUGCUAAUGUUAUCUGUUAGUUAUAUGUAGUGUGGUUAAUUCAUGAGCUGUGUUUCAAACACUAUGUGGCUUUUGCCACCACUGUGUUUUUCAUAGGGUUAUUAAUAUAACAAGGAAGAUGCUCUGCUCUUCAUGUACUUUUAUGUUUAUGUACAUUUAUGUUAUUGUCAUGCAUUAAAAACAAUGUGUAUGCAUAUGUCACCAAAGGCAACAUCUUUCAAGUCACACAAGGUGAUGGCAGACACAGAGUUGAUUACCAUUGGCAGGAAGGUAACACACCUACCCAGUUUAUUUGGAGUUGCUGUUGCUGCCUGCCUCUUUAGUUCAUAUCAAGGGAACUAAUUGAAUGUGUGCGUGCGUGUGUCUGUGCGUGCGUGUCUGUGUGUGCGUGUCUGUGUGUACAGGUGUCAAACCCCCGUAUCGGGGUGGAGUCGUUGCUAGUGACGGUCAUCAGAAAAGCGCCAGCCCAGCAGAAGGCAGGGAGAGCCAGAGUCUGGCCGGGGAAGUGCUUCAGACUCUAGACAGAGAAGGCCUACAAGACUAUAAAUUUGGAAAUUCCUCGUGGGGGAGAGCUGCGCGUAAUCGGAGUGCUACUUGGGAGCGUUCCUGGUGGACGGACCAGCGCAGAACCGUCUCCACGCUUGAAAGUGACAAAGCGGGUCCCUGCCACACUGGCCGGUAGCGACUUGCUGUCUGGAUUGUAUACUGGAUUGGGAUGACUCCUCUUUGGUGUAGGGUUGAUCUAUUGCAGUGUUUUUUUUUCUGUGGAUUCUAUAUGUGGGGCGUGGUUUAAGUAUUGCAAACUGAUAAUACCUUUUGGGGAGAAGGCAUGUAUCUUGCUUUUGUGUGGACAUUGUGUGGGGGUUUUCAUGUUCGACAUGGUUGGCCAUUAGUGGGGUUUAUGCCUAUUGCCUAG
Long non-coding RNA from Clupea harengus (Atlantic herring), 1492 nucleotides. Lineage: Eukaryota; Metazoa; Chordata; Actinopteri; Clupeiformes; Clupeidae. The record is from Ensembl.